UACGUAGGGUGCGAGCGUUGUCCGGAAUUAUUGGGCGUAAAGAGCUCGUAGGCGGUGUGUCGCGUCGGCCGUGAAAACCUGGGGCUCAACUCUGGGCGUGCGGUCGAUACGGGCAUCACUUGAGUUCGGCAGGGGAGACUGGAAUUCCCGGUGUAGCGGUGAAAUGCGCAGAUAUCGGGAGGAACACCGGUGGCGAAGGCGGUUCUCUGGGCCUUACCUGACACUGAGGAGCGAAAGCGUGGGGAGCGAACAGG
RNAcentral lists this ribosomal RNA (254 nucleotides) under uncultured bacterium. RNAcentral's name for it is "partial 16S ribosomal RNA". It matches the Rfam family "Bacterial small subunit ribosomal RNA", at positions 524 to 776 of the family's 1533-position model. The record is from RNAcentral.